RNAcentral lists this long non-coding RNA (287 nucleotides) under Nicotiana benthamiana. RNAcentral's name for it is "long non-coding RNA (NBEN_LNC008225)". The record is from RNAcentral. Lineage: Eukaryota; Viridiplantae; Streptophyta; Magnoliopsida; Solanales; Solanaceae.
UAAUAGUUUCAAUAUGUACUUCCUAAUUGGCAGGGUCAUCUAAUACAGUCCUCUGAAUUGCAGUCAUAUCAGUAUUAAUAUUCACCCUCUGCAUCUUCUCAUCAUGUUGCACAGAUUGCACUGGCAGGCUAGGCAAUGUAUUUGCAGGAAUUGUUAAGCUUACCAGUGUAUCUGCAUUAGCUUUAGGCAGCCAUUCCUGCUUUGUUAUCUUUGCUGGUUUUUUAACUCUAGUCCUUUGCCUUAUUUUCUUCCCUAGCUCUUGCAUCUCCUUUACCCCAUCAUUAUGU